This 134-nucleotide small nuclear RNA is filed under the name Neogale vison (American mink). RNAcentral's name for it is "Neovison vison (American mink) U4 spliceosomal RNA (ENSNVIG00000003784.1)". The stretch from base 1 to 83 matches the Rfam family "U4 spliceosomal RNA". From Rfam's summary of the family: U4 small nuclear RNA (U4 snRNA) is a component of the major U2-dependent spliceosome. Lineage: Eukaryota; Metazoa; Chordata; Mammalia; Carnivora; Mustelidae. The record is from RNAcentral.
AGCUUUGCGCAGUGGCAGUAUCGUAGCCAAUGAGGUUUAUCCGAGGCGUGAUUAUUGCUAAUUGAAAAAUCUUAAAAAAAAAAACAAACCCAGAAAGAAAGAUAAAUCUCCUUUUUUCUUUAGCCAGCCUUUGG